CACUAACAAUUAGAUGUACACACAGACACACAAUUCAUGCUGGUUCUGCACAAAUACACAUUAAUAUUUAAAUGUACACACAGACCCACUAACAAUUAGAUCUACACACAGACACACUAACAAUUAGAUCUACACACAGACACACUAUCAUUUGGUUCUAAACAAAAACACACACUAAUAUUUAGAUGUUCACAAAGACACAAUAACAAUUAGAUGUACACAAAGACACAAUAACAAUUAGAUGUACACACAGACACACUAACAUUUGGUUCUAAACAAAGACACACACUAACAUUUAGAUGUACACAAAGACACAUUAUUAUUUAGAUGUACACACAGACACACUAACAAUUAGAUGUACACACAGACACACUAACAUUUGGUUCUAAACAAAGACACACACUAAUAUUUAGAUGUACACAAAGACACACUAACAUUUAGAUGAACACACACACACUAACAUUUAGAUGUACACACAGACACACUAUCAUUUGGUUCUAAACAAAGACACGCACUAAUAUUUAGAUGUACACUAAGACACAAUAACAAUUAGAUGUACACAAAGACACAAUAACAAUUAGAUGUACACACAGACACACUAACAAUUAGAUGUACACACAGACACACUAACAUUUGGUUCUAAACAAAGACACACACUAACAUUUAGAUGUACACAAAGACACAUUAAUAUUUAGAUGUACACAAAGACACAAUAACAAUUAGAUCUACACACAGACACACUAACAAUUAGAUCUACACACAGACACACUAACAAUUAGAUGUACACCCAGACACAUCCUGAUGAUCCUCCUCACGUCUCUUCUCCUUGUCUGCAGACCAACAGGACGUCAUCAGGACGCCACGUCACCGGGACGCCAUCAGGACACCACGUCAUCGGGACGCCAUCAGGACGCCAUCAGGACGCCAUCAGGACGCCAUCAGGACGCCGCGUCAACCCCUCAGGAGCAAAUCCAGAUCUACUCAUGACACACACACACACACACAGAUACCAACAGGACGCCAUCAGAACGCCACGUCACCGGGACGCCAUCAGGACGCCGCGUCAAGCCCUCAGGAGCAAAUCCAGAUCUACUCAUGACACACACACACACACAGAUAUUAUUAUAUUAUUUAAUAUUAUUAUUAUUGUUAAAUAUGUCGUCUGUUUAUUAUUUUAACAAUGAAAAUACAUUUUAAUAAAAAUAAAACCAAAUUAAUCCGUCUUGUUUU
Molecule: long non-coding RNA, 1230 nt
Organism: Gasterosteus aculeatus aculeatus (three-spined stickleback)
Lineage: Eukaryota; Metazoa; Chordata; Actinopteri; Perciformes; Gasterosteidae
Source: Ensembl